AUUGAACGCUGGCGGCAGGCUUAACACAUGCAAGUCGAGCGGGGAAGGGUAGCUUGCUACCUGACCUAGCGGCGGACGGGUGAGUAAUGCUUAGGAAUCUGCCUAUUAGUGGGGGACAACAUUCCGAAAGGAAUGCUAAUACCGCAUACGCCCUACGGGGGAAAGCAGGGGAUCUUCGGACCUUGCGCUAAUAGAUGAGCCUAAGUCAGAUUAGCUAGUUGGUGGGGUAAAGGCCUACCAAGGCGACGAUCUGUAGCGGGUCUGAGAGGAUGAUCCGCCACACUGGGACUGAGACACGGCCCAGACUCCUACGGGAGGCAGCAGUGGGGAAUAUUGGACAAUGGGCGCAAGCCUGAUCCAGCCAUGCCGCGUGUGUGAAGAAGGCCUUUUGGUUGCAAAGCACUUUAAGCGAGGAGGAGGCUACUUGGAUUAAUACUCUAGGAUAGUGGACGUUACUCGCAGAAUAAGCACCGGCUAACUCUGUGCCAGCAGCCGCGGUAAUACAGAGGGUGCGAGCGUUAAUCGGAUUUACUGGGCGUAAAGCGUGCGUAGGCGGCUUUUUAAGUCGGAUGUGAAAUCCCUGAGCUUAACUUAGGAAUUGCAUUCGAUACUGGGAAGCUAGAGUAUGGGAGAGGAUGGUAGAAUUCCAGGUGUAGCGGUGAAAUGCGUAGAGAUCUGGAGGGAUACCGAUGGCGAAGGCAGCCAUCUGGCCUAAUACUGACGCUGAGGUACGAAAGCAUGGGGAGCAAACAGG
RNAcentral lists this ribosomal RNA (754 nucleotides) under Acinetobacter johnsonii. RNAcentral describes it as "bacterial SSU rRNA". It matches the Rfam family "Bacterial small subunit ribosomal RNA", at positions 28 to 776 of the family's 1533-position model. The record is from RNAcentral. Lineage: Bacteria; Pseudomonadati; Pseudomonadota; Gammaproteobacteria; Moraxellales; Moraxellaceae.